GCAACAGGACAAGAGUCACUGCCUGUAAAAAGGGAGGGAAAAACGUUUCAGUGAUUAGUAAAAAAAUAAAUUAUGAACAGUAAAGGUCCCAAUGACAAAUUAAUUUUCAUUUCAUUAGCUGAUAGUCUGAUACCGUCAUUUUAUCAUGUUCACUUUAACCACUGAUUGCCAAAAUGGCAAAUAAUAAAGCAAGUAAAUUUUAUCAGUCUAUAUACUUCAAAAUAACACACGACUCAGUGAAAAUCUACAGAUACAGAAAAACAACAGAAACUAGAACCUGAAGGCUUAAAGAGGUUAGUUUACAACAAAAGAAAGUGCCUUUCCUGAACCAUAUGUAGAGAGAGAAGAACUUGAUGGUGGAGGAAUGCAAGAUGCUUUCUUUGUAACAUUCUUUAUAUCCAAAUAUAUGGUUUCAACUUCUUUAGCAGGUAUAAGGGCAUUCAUUUUCUCACGAAAAUGACUCUCUGUGGGAGCAGCAAGAGGAAUUUCUUCUUAAAACAAAAAUUAAAAUUAGCUGCAUCACAACUGAAACAAGCUAAAAAAUGCAAGACAUCAUCAUGCAUGAAAAGGAAAACAAAUGCAUCGCAGCAUCGGCUUUUUUAUUCAAACACAUUAUGCAACUCAGUAAAUUUCAUCGAUUGAUACUCAACUCAACUAAGCCUUUA
RNAcentral lists this unclassified non-coding RNA (665 nucleotides) under Hevea brasiliensis (rubber tree). The record is from RNAcentral. Lineage: Eukaryota; Viridiplantae; Streptophyta; Magnoliopsida; Malpighiales; Euphorbiaceae.